RNAcentral lists this ribosomal RNA (1991 nucleotides) under human oral metagenome. RNAcentral describes it as "bacterial LSU rRNA". It matches the Rfam family "Bacterial large subunit ribosomal RNA", at positions 1 to 2004 of the family's 2925-position model. The record is from RNAcentral.
AAAAACAGAUAAGGGCAGACGGUGGAUGCCUUGGCUCUCGGAGGCGAUGAAGGACGUGAUAAGCUGCGAUAAGCUACGGGGAUUGGCACAUACAAAUUGAUCCGUAGAUUUCCGAAUGGGGCAACCCGGCAUGUAGAAGACAUGUCACACUGCAGAGCAGUGAGCGAACGUGGGGAACUGAAACAUCUAAGUACCCAUAGGAGAAGAAAACAAAAGUGAUUCCCUUAGUAGUGGCGAGCGAACGGGGAACAGCCCAAACCAGUUUUGUUUCGGCAAAACUGGGGUUGUAGGACCUCGGCAUAGGAAGACAAGAUUAGGAGAACGGUCUGGAAAGGCCGGCCAUAGAACAUGACAGCUGUGUAUCCGAAAAUCUUCGUUGGACUUAGAGGUAUCCUGAGUAGCGCGGGACACGUGAAAUCCUGUGUGAAUCUGCGGGGCCCAUCCCGUAAGGCUAAAUACUCCCGAGAGACCGAUAGUGAACCAGUACCGUGAGGGAAAGGUGAAAAGAACCUCGAACAGAGGAGUGCAAUAGAUCCUGAACCCGUCUGCCUACAAGCGGUAGGAGCAGCUUUGUGCUGUGACUGCGUGCCUUUUGCAUAAUGAACCUACGAGUUACUUUCUCUGGCAAGGUUAAGUGAUGAAGAGUCACGUGAGCCGAAGCGAAAGCGAGUCUGAAUAGGGCGAUUUAGUCAGAGGGAGUAGACGCGAAACCAAGUGAUCUACCCUUGGUCAGGUUGAAGGUUGGGUAAAACCAACUGGAGGACCGCACCGGUAAGCGUUGAAAAGCUUUCGGAUGAACUGAGGGUAGGGGUGAAAGGCUAAUCAAACUUGGAGAUAGCUCGUACUCCCCGAAAUGCAUUUAGGUGCAGCCUGUGGAGUUUCUUACGUGAGGUAGAGCGACUGAUUGGAUGCGAGGCUUUCACCGGCUAUCAAGUCCAGACAAACUCCGAAUGCACGUUAAGUAAGAUCCACGGAGUGAGGGCAUGGGUGCUAAGGUCCAUGUCCGAGAGGAGAAGAAUCCAGACCAUCGGCUAAGGUCCCGAAAUAAUAGCUAAGUUGACCAAACGAAGUCAGAGUGCGAAGACAGCUAGGAUGUUGGCUUGGAAGCAGCCAUUCAUUUAAAGAGUGCGUAACAGCUCACUAGUCGAGUGCUUUGGCGUGGAUAAUAAUCGGGCAUAAGCUAUUUACCGAAGCUGUGGGAUGUGUAAACAUCGGUAGGGGAGCAUUCCAGCGACGUUGAAGGUAAGAGGACAACUCUUGCUGGAGUUUCUGGAAAAGCAAAUGUAGGUAUAAGUAACGAUAAAGGAGGUGAGAAACCUCCUCGCCGAAAGACUAAGGUUUCCUGAUCAACGCUAAUCGGAUCAGGGUUAGUCGGGGCCUAAGGGGCAGCCGAAGGGCGGACCCGAUGGAAGAACCGGUUAAUAUUCCGGUACUAAUUAUGUGAGCGAUGUGGAGACGGAGAUGUGACGGUCCUGCCAACUGACGGAAUAGUUGGUUGAAGGGUGUAGGAGUUGAUCUGAGUAGGCAAAUCCGCUCGGAGAUCCGAACCUGACAGUACUCUGAGUGCUUGCACAAGGAGAUAUGGACAACUGUAACGGUGCUCCCAAGAAAAUCCGCUAAGCAUAUUGCAUGAUUACCCGUACCACAAACCGACACAGGUGGUUGGGUUGAGUAUACUAAGGCGCUCGAGUGAUUCGCGGUUAAGGAACUAGGCAAAAUAGUUCUGUAACUUCGGGAUAAAGAACGCUCACCUAACCGGUGAGCCGCAGAGAAUAGACCCAGGCGACUGUUUAACAAAAACACAUGGCUAUGCUAAAUCGAAAGAUACAGUAUAUAGCCUGACACCUGCCCGGUGCUGGAAGGUUAAGAGGAGAUGUCAUCGCAAGAGAAGCAUUGAAUUGAAGCCCCAGUAAACGGCGGCCGUAACUAUAACGGUCCUAAGGUAGCGAAAUUCCUUGUCGGGUAAGUUCCGACCUGCACGAAUGGUGUAA